Molecule: ribosomal RNA, 434 nt
Filed under: uncultured bacterium
Lineage: Bacteria
Description: bacterial SSU rRNA
Rfam family: Bacterial small subunit ribosomal RNA
Source: RNAcentral
GGGCCCGCACAAGCGGUGGAUUAUGUGGAUUAAUUCGAUGCAACGCGAAAAACCUUACCUGGCCUUGACAUGUACCGAAUUUAGCAGAGAUGCUUUAGUGCUCGUAAGAGAACGGUAACACAGGUGCUGCAUGGCUGUCGUCAGCUCGUGUCGUGAGAUGUUGGGUUAAGUCCCGCAACGAGCGCAACCCUUGCCAUUAAUUGCCAUCAUUUAGUUGGGCACUUUAAUGGGACUGCCGGUGACAAACCGGAGGAAGGUGGGGAUGACGUCAAGUCCUCAUGGCCCUUAUGGCCAGGGCUUCACACGUAAUACAAUGGUCGGUACAGAGGGCUGCUAACCCGCGAGGGGGUGCUAAUCUCAGAAAACCGAUCGUAGUCCGGAUUGUUGUCUGCAACUCGACAGCAUGAAGUCGGAAUCGCUAGUAAUCGCGGAUC